UUUGACUUGGAGAUUAUCUCUUCAGUUUGUUUACACUGGCUUUAAUUCUUCUGUAAUUCAGGUAAUUGAAAUGGCAAGUCGUGAUACCGGAGAUGCUGUGAAUGAAAGACUGGUUGCAGCUAUAUUCGAACGGGCUGCAAGCCAUCGCUACGAUCCAGCUGUUUAUAAUGAGGAGGAUGAAAGAGCAUUCGAAUGCUGUCGGAUCCUUUUCAGUAAAGAUUACAAUUGUCAAGUGGUGUCUAAUUGUGAAAAUCGCAGCGCCCAUUAUCCAGCGAAACUCAUUAUUCCUGUAAAGGAGAAUACAGGUAUUGCCGAACAAGAACCCAUUCCCGGACAACAAAGUUCCGACGACAGCUCUCGGAGUUUCCAAGCUGGACUUUAUGAGAACAUGUUUAAAAGUUCGCAAGCUUGUAGAAUGAAUAAACGGUUUCCUGUCCCAACAAUAUUAUGGAAUGGAAAAUAUCUCUCUCGUACUGGUUCACUGGAUGUCCUUUCGGUGGCAACAGAUAUGGAUGAAACUCUAAAGCAAGAAGGUUCUCAAGCAAGUGACUUUAUAUUCCAGAUAAAUAUUGCCACUGCAGCUUUCUUCAUGAGGAACAUGAAAUUCUUUAGUGAAAUAAAAAUGGACGUUGCUCUUUUGGAAUACUUGGAUGUGAAUUACAUUUGUGACUUGAGAGUAAGAGACACAAGCAAAAGCUUUCCUAAUUUCGCGGAUUCUUGUGAAGCUUACCAGAAGUAUUACGUAGGAUUCACAACUGUACACAUGCCAUACCCAGGUAUCGGCUAUUUUAGAAAAUACCACAAUCUACGGAGGCCUAAAUUACUAUCUUGCGAUCUAGAUAAGGUAUCUCCACCACGCUAUGAGCUGGCAUUGGCUGACAUAGACUGCACGACACUUUUUCAAACCGACUUGAAAAAAUACGAGAGAUGGAGCCUACAUGAUAUAACACUAAAUUAUCUACUGGUUUUACAGACUUAUCUUACUUCCGACACCCUUCCAAGACGAGGGAUCCUACUGCAUUGCAUUGCUGGUCAAGAUAGGACCCCACUUUUCGUAACACUAUUGCGUUUGUCCUUUUGGGCUGACGACUUAAUGCAUGAGAGCCUGAAUCCCCUAGAAAUGCUCUACUUGACCGUUACCUAUGAUUGGUACAUGUUUGGAUAAUGCAUUUCUGUUACAACAUGCUUGAUCGCAUUUCAUCUGACAGAUUUUCAGUGAGGAAAGCUGAUGAGCCAGCUGCCAGAGCAAGGUUCAUUCCGUGUUGUCCAACCGUAACUGACCGUAAGAGAAAGCUUACAGAAG
This 1303-nucleotide unclassified non-coding RNA is filed under the name Stegodyphus dumicola. RNAcentral describes it as "myotubularin-related protein 14-like, transcript variant X2". The record is from RNAcentral. Lineage: Eukaryota; Metazoa; Arthropoda; Arachnida; Araneae; Eresidae.